This 202-nucleotide long non-coding RNA is filed under the name Elaeis guineensis (African oil palm). RNAcentral's name for it is "long non-coding RNA (EGUI_LNC027366)". The record is from RNAcentral. Lineage: Eukaryota; Viridiplantae; Streptophyta; Magnoliopsida; Arecales; Arecaceae.
UCAUAGACUCUUUGAAUCUAAAAUCAAAUCUUAUUCAUCUUUGAAAUUAAACCUGAACCUCAUGUCUAGUGCUAGCUAGACAUAGUUAACUAUUUAAUCUCGUAUGAUCUGUAACUUAAUUCUCAAUCAAGUUAAUCUAUUUAUUCAAUCAAGUCACGUACUUUCAAAUUGAACAUAUAGACCUAGAUCAAUUCUUUUCUAU